Molecule: small nuclear RNA, 107 nt
Organism: Tupaia belangeri (northern tree shrew)
Lineage: Eukaryota; Metazoa; Chordata; Mammalia; Scandentia; Tupaiidae
Source: Ensembl
GUGCUCACUUCAACAGCACAUACACUAAAAUUGUAAUGUAACAGAGAAGAUUAGUAUGGCCCCUGCACAAGGAUGACACGCAAAUUCAUGAAGUGUUCCAUAUUUUU